Molecule: long non-coding RNA, 254 nt
Organism: Pistacia vera
Lineage: Eukaryota; Viridiplantae; Streptophyta; Magnoliopsida; Sapindales; Anacardiaceae
Exons: 3
Source: RefSeq, a predicted model, not a curated record
UGUUUUCCUGCUAACUCUAUACAUUCAGAUUCUGGUUAUGAGGGCAGUAACAAAUCCUCAGGAAUUUGCUGCUCUAAAGUCUCUCAAGCAUCACUGGCGGAACACACCACCCGACUGGGUUGGUGAUGAUCCUUGUGGCAGUUCCUGGGAAGGAAUUAGGUGUGACAAUUCAAGUGUGACCUCUAUUGUACUAUCAGGCAUAGGCUUGAGAGGGAAACUGCCUGCUGAUACUCAGAAUCUACCUGAAUUAAGGA